RNAcentral lists this ribosomal RNA (400 nucleotides) under uncultured bacterium. RNAcentral describes it as "partial 16S ribosomal RNA". It matches the Rfam family "Bacterial small subunit ribosomal RNA", at positions 355 to 746 of the family's 1533-position model. The record is from RNAcentral.
UGGGGAAUAUUGCACAAUGGGCGCAAGCCUGAUGCAGCCAUGCCGCGUGUGUGAAGAAGGCCUUCGGGUUGUAAAGCACUUUCAGCGAGGAGGAAGGUGGUGGACUUAAUACGUUCAUCAAUUGACGUUACUCGCAGAAGAAGCACCGGCUAACUCCGUGCCAGCAGCCGCGGUAAUACGGAGGGUGCAAGCGUUAAUCGGAAUUACUGGGCGUAAAGCGCACGCAGGCGGUUUGUUAAGUCAGAUGUGAAAUCCCCGGGCUCAACCUGGGAACUGCAUUUGAAACUGGCAAGCUAGAGUCUCGUAGAGGGGGGUAGAAUUCCAGGUGUAGCGGUGAAAUGCGUAGAGAUCUGGAGGAAUACCGGUGGCGAAGGCGGCCCCCCUGGACGAAGACUGACGC